AUGGCGGUCUACUAUGGCAGCGCCCUCUCGGCCGUCCUGCUGCUCUCCUUGUUGAUUUUCGCCCUCUGCGACGACGCGACACCGUCCACGCCGGUGUCACCGUCCACCGCGUGCAACGACACGACGGACCCCACGUUCUGCCGGACCGUGCUGCCGCCGCACGGCACGAGCGACCUCUACACCUACGGCCGCUUCUCCGUCGCCAAGUCCCUCGCCAGCGCCAACAAGUUUGUCGGCCUCGUCGACCACUACCUGUCCCGCCACCGCCACCUCUCACGCAGCGCGAUCGGCGCGCUGCAGGACUGCAAGCUCCUCUCCGAGCUCAACGUCGACUUCCUCUCCGCCACCGGCACUGCGCUCAAGGGCACGGAGACGCUCCUCGACCCGCAGGCCGACGACGUACAGACGUUGCUCUCGGCGAUCCUGACCAACCAGGAGACAUGUCUCGACGGCCUUCAGGCCGCGUCGGGAUCGUGGUCGGACCGUGGCGGCGGCCUCGCCGAGCCGAUCUCCAACGGCACCAAGCUCUACAGUCUCUCGCUGUCACUCUUCACCAGGGCAUGGGUGACCACGGCGAAGGCGCCCAAGGGCGCCAAGAAACCGCACCACGGCCACAAGAAGCCGCCGACGGCCCCGACGAACGUGAGGAGGGGGCUGUUCGACGCGAAAGACGAGGAGAUGGUCCGGAGAAUGGCGAUCGAGGGGCCCCAAGGGACGGUGGCGGUGAACAGGGCCGUGACGGUGCACCAGGGUGGCUCCGGGAACUACACGACGGUCGGGGAUGCCGUGGCGGCCGCGCCCACCAACCUCAACGGCAGCGCCGGGUACUACGUGAUAUACGUGCUCGCGGGCGUGUACGAGGAGAACGUGGAGGUGCCCAAGAAGAUGAAGUACGUCAUGAUGAUCGGCGAUGGGAUCGGACAGACGGUGAUCACCGGCAACCGGAGCGUUGUCGAUGGCUGGACCACCUUCCACUCGGCCACCGUUGCUGUGCAUGGGCAAGGAUUCGUGGCGAUGAACAUGACGAUCCGGAACACGGCCGGCCCAGCGAAGCACCAGGCGGUGGCGCUCCGGUCGAGCGCCGACCUGUCGACCUUCUACAGCUGCAGCUUCGAGGCGUACCAGGACACGCUCUACACGCACUCCCUCCGCCAGUUCUACCGCGGCUGCGAGGUGCACGGCACCGUGGACUACGUGUUCGGCAACGCCGCCGUCGUCUUCCAGGACUGCACCUUCUACUCCCGCCUCCCCAUGCAGGGCCAGAGCAACACCGUCACGGCGCAGGGCCGCACCAAUCCGGAGCAGAACACCGGCACCUCCAUCCAGGGCUGCACCCUCCUCCCGUCCCCGGAGCUCGCGGCCAACGCCGCCUUUGACACGCGCACCUUCCUCGGCCGGCCGUGGAAGAAUUACUCGCGCACGGUGGUCAUGGAGUCGUACAUCGGCGGCCUCGUCGACGCCACCGGGUGGAUGCCAUGGUCCGGGGACUUCGCGCUCGACACGCUCUACUAUGCCGAGUACAACAACUCCGGGCCGGGCGCCGACACCGGCCGUCGGGUCAGCUGGCCGGGCUACCACGUGCUAGGCGACGGCGCCGAUGCCGGCAACUUUACCGUCGACAGUAUGGUGCUCGGGGGCAACUGGCUGCCGCAGACCGGCGUGCCCUUCACCAGCGGAUUGAAAUAUUGA
Molecule: ribosomal RNA, 1689 nt
Filed under: Triticum aestivum (bread wheat)
Lineage: Eukaryota; Viridiplantae; Streptophyta; Magnoliopsida; Poales; Poaceae
Description: partial small subunit ribosomal RNA
Source: RNAcentral